Molecule: ribosomal RNA, 614 nt
Filed under: uncultured marine bacterium
Lineage: Bacteria
Description: bacterial SSU rRNA
Rfam family: Bacterial small subunit ribosomal RNA
Source: RNAcentral
AGUACGACCGCAAGGUUAAAACUCAAAUGAAUUGACGGGGACCCGCACAAGUAGUGGAGCAUGUGGUUUAAUUCGAAGAUACGCGCAGAACCUUACCAACACUUGACAUGUUCGUCGCGACUCUAAGAGAUUAGAGUUUUCGGUUCGGCCGGACGAAACACAGGUGCUGCAUGGCUGUCGUCAGCUCGUGUCGUGAGAUGUUGGGUUAAGUCCCGCAACGAGCGCAACCCUCACUUUUAGUUGCCAUCAUUAAGUUGGGCACUCUGAAAGAACUGCCAGUGAUAAGCUGGAGGAAGGUGGGGAUGACGUCAAGUCCUCAUGGCCCUUACGUGUUGGGCUACACACGUGCUACAAUGGUAUCUACAACAGGAAGCAAGACUGCGAAGUUAAGCAAAUCCCUAAAAGAUACCUCAGUUCGGAUUGCACUCUGCAACUCGAGUGCAUGAAGCUGGAAUUACUAGUAAUCGUGGAUCAGCGUGCCACGGUGAAUGCGUUCCCGGGUCUUGUACACACCGCCCGUCACACCAUGGGAGUUGGUUCUACCUUAAGGCAAGGUUUCAAACCCUUGACCACGGUAUAGUCAGCGACUGGGGUGAAGUCGUAACAAGGUAACC